Molecule: long non-coding RNA, 201 nt
Filed under: Elaeis guineensis (African oil palm)
Lineage: Eukaryota; Viridiplantae; Streptophyta; Magnoliopsida; Arecales; Arecaceae
Description: long non-coding RNA (EGUI_LNC070733)
Source: RNAcentral
GGCUCAAUAGUUGAACUCGAAUCAUUAGAUUGGUCAAAUUGAAACUAAUUAAUUAAUUGAUGUCUAAGAUAAGUUUGAUAUUUCGAUCGAUGUCUGAUCAAUUUGAUAAAUUAUAUUUUGAUUAGAUCACUAAGUGAUUCGAGUUAAUCCAUACCAUUAAAGUUGAUCAGUAUGACUGAUUUAGGUGUCAGUUCGACCAGC